This 2552-nucleotide long non-coding RNA is filed under the name Prunus persica (peach). RNAcentral's name for it is "long non-coding RNA (PPER_LNC006515)". Lineage: Eukaryota; Viridiplantae; Streptophyta; Magnoliopsida; Rosales; Rosaceae. The record is from RNAcentral.
AAAACAUGAAGGUAGAUCGCAUAUAUUGUAAUUUAGUUAAUAAAAAUAGAGGAUAUAUAUCUUACCAGUUUAGGUUUUAGUUAGAUGGUUAAAAUUAUGUGAGUUUAUGUCUAGGAUAUAAAAGUUGUAAAGACAUCUAUAUGAAGAACCCAAGAUGCGGAAAGCCUGAGCACACAAAAAUGACAAAAAGCCAAGAUAAUUUUAUUCAAAUAAAAAAGGGUACAUAAGCUUGAAAUUGGAAAUGACGAUCUAGUGUAGUAGGGGAGGAGCCCCCCUACCUAGCCAACUUAAGGAUCUUAGAUAAUACUUUUAAUAAUUAAUAAUAUUAUGGAAUAGGGUUGAAAAAAAACCAACAUAAGCAAUGGCAAUGAUGACGGUCGCCAAAUAGUUUGCAGAUUCCUCCUUUCUCACAAUCUGAAGUGCAAAAUGUCCAGCAUUUUCCACCGUUUGGGUUGUCAUCCGCACCAGGGACACAAUUUCCAAGUUCAGGAUGAUCAGUACAACACUUAGACCCUUCAACAGUUGCAAUCUUCCAAAUUGAAAUUAAGAAAAAAAAAAGGACAAUUAAUUAAUUCGCCAAAAAAAUUAUAGUCUUAUUAUGAAAUGAACCAAAAAUUGAAAAACUAAAAGCCUCUUGAACAAACUCUGCAAUAUAUAAAAUUAUAUUUCAAAAUAUUUACAAGAAAAAUAAGUGUAGACAUGAGUUUACGCACUUGAACAAACUCUAGAUUCUUAGUUUAAAAGUAAUUAAAAUUGAUCCAAUUUGGGUUUUCUAUUGACUCAUACAUUGAUAUGAUCAACGAAAACGGAAAAAAAAGCCCUAAUAGCUUGCAUGCAUGGACAUCUGUUUGACCAUAUAUAUAGGAGAUUGUAAAUACUUUAAUUGAAAAGCCUAACUAACAGGAAAAAAAUAAAAUAUAAAUGAUUGAAGAUCAUUGAAACAAACCAUUGGUGGUUGAUAAGAGCACCAAAAUAAUGACUAAACAAGGGAUUGUAAACUUAGCCAUCCUUUUUUCUUGAAUUUACUUCACUUGUUCUGCUAAAAAGUUGAGACAAUGUGCGAUUUAUAUAGAGAGUCCAAAUACAUAGUCAUAAAUAUAUAAUUACGUUCAAAAUAUAUAUGGUAUUUUUAGGGAAUUAAUUGACCUUAAUUAUUUUGUUACAAAUGCUACAAAUAUAUAAAGCUGAGUUGACUUCUGAGAAUUAAGCCUAGUCAGCAAAAAUGCUCCCUAAUUACGUUGUUACAAACGCUACCAAUAUAUAAAGCUAAGUUAACUAUUGAAACGUUUGAGAAUUAACCCAGUCUUAAUCUUUUAUGGGGUUUUUAUCAUUAUUUUGAAAUCAAUUAUCUUACUUUCAAGAUGCAUGCUAGUUAUUCCUGGUAUGAUACUUUCUUUUUAAAAAAUUGGAGUCAUUAAUGUGCUAGAAAUCAGGGAGUAUCAAUAAGAAAUUAAGGAGUUUAUGACAUGCUUUAAAAUAAAUUAAAUACAAAACAUGAAGGUAGAUCGCAUAUAUUGUAAUUUAGUUAAUAAUAAUAGAGCAUAUAUAUCUUACCAAUUUAGGUUUUAAUUAGAUGGUUAAAAUUAUGUGAGUUUAUGUCUAGAAUAUAAAAGUAGUAAAGACAGCUAUGUGAAGAACCCAAGACGGCACAUUGCAACGGAAAGCCUGAGCACACAGAAAUGACAAAAUGCCAAGAUAAUUUUAUUCAACUAAAGAAGGGUACAUAAGCUUGAAAUUGGAAAUAACGAUCUAGUCUAGUAGGGGAGGAGCCCCCCACCUACCCAACUUAAGGAUCUUAGAUAAAACUGUUAACUAAUUAAUAAUAUUAUGGAAUAGAGUUGAAAGAAAAUCAACACAAGCAGUGGCAAUGAUGACGAUCGCCAAAUAGUUUGCAGAUUCCUCCUUUCUCACAAUCUGAAGUGCAAAAUGUCCAGCAUUUUCCACCGUUUGGGUUGUCAUCCGCACCAGGGAAACACUUUCCAAGUUCAGGAUGAUCAGUACAACACUUGGACCCAUCAACAGUUGCAAUCUUCCAAACUGAAAUUAUAAACAAAAAAAAAAGAGAGAGAGACAAUUAAUUAAUUCUCCAAAAAAAUUAUAGUCUUAUUAUGAAAUGAACCAAAAAUUAAAAAACAAAAAGCCUCUUGAACAAACGCUGCAAUAUAUAAAAUUAUAUUACAAAAUAUUUAUGGGAAAAACAAGUGUAGACAUGAGUUUACGCACUUGAACAAACUCUAGAUUCUUAGAUUAAAAGUAAUUAAAAUUGAUCCAAUUUGAAUUUUUUAUCGACUCAUACAUUGAUACGAUCAACCAAAAAGGAAAAAGAAAAAAAAAACCUAAUAGCUUGCAUGCAUGAACAUCUGUUUGACCAUAUAUAUAGGAGAUUGUAAAUACUUUAAUUGAAAAGCCUAACUAACAGGAAAAAAAUAAAAUAUAAAUGAUUGAAGAUCAUUGAAACAAACCAUUGGUGGUUGAUAAGAGCACCAAAAUAAUGACUAAACAAGGGAUUGUAAACUUAGCCAUCCUUUUUUCUUGAAUUUACUUCACUUGUU